This 278-nucleotide ribosomal RNA is filed under the name uncultured bacterium. Its description in RNAcentral is "partial 16S ribosomal RNA". It matches the Rfam family "Bacterial small subunit ribosomal RNA", at positions 506 to 784 of the family's 1533-position model. The record is from RNAcentral.
UGCCAGCCGCCGCGGUAAUACGUAGGGAGCGAGCGUUAUCCGGAAUUACUGGGCUUAAAGUGCAUGUAGGCGGUAAAUUAAGUCAGGUGUCAAAUCCAUCAGCUCAACUGAUGUACGCACUUGAUACUGGUUUACUAGAGGCUAAUAGAGGGAAGUGGAACUCAUGGUGUAGCGGUGAAAUGCGUAGAUAUCAUGAGGAACCCCAGUGACGAAGGUGACUUCCUGGAUUAUGCCUGACGCUGAGAUGCGAAAGCGUGGGGAGCGAACGGGAUUAGAUA